UCAAGGAUCUCAACCUAUUUAAUUGUUAUAAUGUUUUAUAAUCCAUUUGCAUAAAUGCAUGGUAUUAGCACUCAAUGCAAACCAAUAAUGCAUAGUUACGUCUUUUCAUCCAACGAUUUCUUUUAAAAUACUUUUUAACUCGAGUCUUUGAUCUAAUAUGUUGUGCAUAUUGGAUUAAUAUGUUGUAAAUAUUGGAUCGUACUUGUUCUUUUAUUUUUUAUUUGUUAAUUUCUAUGAGCUUGGAUGAUUAUACCUCUUUACAUUCUCUUUUACGUAAAUUUUCAAAUAUAGUUGACUAUAUAGAAAGUUACAUAUUCUAUGUGUAAAAAACUCUUGUAAAACCUUAUGAUCCUAGCCAAAAGACAUUACUUAAACCAAGAUCGAGUUAUUUUACUAUAAUAUUUUCAUAUUUCGAAAAGGCAUAAUUCUUAAGAGAAUUUAUAAGGUGAGAGAAAUAUGAUGUGUAGUGAAAGUAUGAUAAAACUUAUAUUCAUGAUGAUGAAGUUGAUUGUCCUCAUGAUACUCAAAGUGCAUGCUAAUGUCUCUAGCCCUCUCUCUUCCGCUCUGACUCCACUACCAACUAGCCUUCAUCCCUUCGAACUUGAUAAUGAGAUGAAGACUGAUAUCUUUAUUUGCAUUGAAAGCACACUUGGAAAAUGUGAAGAAAAACCCCGUAUGAAUACGUGUAUUGGUUAUUAUCUUUUUGACUGCCUUUUUUCGAACCCAGUGCACUAUAAAGAUGCUCACAGCAAACUUGCAAUUAUUAAGUCAAAGUGCCGAAAUUUUUGUAUUAAGAAAUCAAAAUUUCAUGGCCUUUAUGUCAUACCAUGUUUAGUAGACUGCUAUGAAGAGUUUUUUAAGAAGGAUUAAAUGUUUGUAUAGAGAAUCAUUGAGCCUUGAGUUUGGUAAAAGGGUCACUAAGAUGGCAUUGGAGGUUUGUGACUGGGAUCUUGAAUAGUUGCAAUAUAUGGAUAAGAACUCCUAGUUUUAUUGUUAUUUUUUAUUUUUAUUUUUUUUUUUUAUGUCUCGCUUUAGUUAUAAAAUAUAUAUAUAGAGAGAUACUUUUACUUGAUUUUGUGUUUGAAUUAUGGUUGUUGACAUGAUCAACCCCAAUGAUUGUGUUGUUUUGGAAUUGUUUGUGUUAUUCGACUAUGUGAGGCUUGAUUGGGAAUA
Alnus glutinosa is the source of this 1173-nucleotide long non-coding RNA. RefSeq lists it as uncharacterized. Lineage: Eukaryota; Viridiplantae; Streptophyta; Magnoliopsida; Fagales; Betulaceae. The record is from RefSeq and is a predicted model, not a curated record. The transcript is spliced from 2 exons.